Molecule: ribosomal RNA, 108 nt
Organism: Fukomys damarensis (Damara mole-rat)
Lineage: Eukaryota; Metazoa; Chordata; Mammalia; Rodentia; Bathyergidae
Source: Ensembl
AUCUGUGGCCAUACCACCCUGAAUGCACCUGAUCUCGUCUGAGCUCAGAAGCUAAGUGGGGUCAGCCAUGGGUGGGAGAUUAAAGUAAACCUCACUGAAUCACAUUUU